Molecule: ribosomal RNA, 898 nt
Filed under: Microbacterium imperiale
Lineage: Bacteria; Bacillati; Actinomycetota; Actinomycetes; Micrococcales; Microbacteriaceae
Description: bacterial SSU rRNA
Rfam family: Bacterial small subunit ribosomal RNA
Source: RNAcentral
UGUGGAUCAGUGGCGAACGGGUGAGUAACACGUGAGCAAUCUGCCCCUGACUCUGGGAUAAGCGCUGGAAACGGCGUCUAAUACCGGAUACGAGCUGCGAUCGCAUGGUCAGUAGCUGGAAAGAAUUUCGGUCAGGGAUGAGCUCGCGGCCUAUCAGCUUGUUGGUGAGGUAAUGGCUCACCAAGGCGUCGACGGGUAGCCGGCCUGAGAGGGUGACCGGCCACACUGGGACUGAGACACGGCCCAGACUCCUACGGGAGGCAGCAGUGGGGAAUAUUGCACAAUGGGCGGAAGCCUGAUGCAGCAACGCCGCGUGAGGGAUGACGGCCUUCGGGUUGUAAACCUCUUUUAGCAGGGAAGAAGCGAAAGUGACGGUACCUGCAGAAAAAGCGCCGGCUAACUACGUGCCAGCAGCCGCGGUAAUACGUAGGGCGCAAGCGUUAUCCGGAAUUAUUGGGCGUAAAGAGCUCGUAGGCGGUCUGUCGCGUCUGCUGUGAAAACCCGAGGCUCAACCUCGGGCCUGCAGUGGGUACGGGCAGACUAGAGUGCGGUAGGGGAGAUUGGAAUUCCUGGUGUAGCGGUGGAAUGCGCAGAUAUCAGGAGGAACACCGAUGGCGAAGGCAGAUCUCUGGGCCGUAACUGACGCUGAGGAGCGAAAGGGUGGGGAGCAAACAGGCUUAGAUACCCUGGUAGUCCACCCCGUAAACGUUGGGAACUAGUUGUGGGGUCCAUUCCACGGAUUCCGUGACGCAGCUAACGCAUUAAGUUCCCCGCCUGGGGAGUACGGCCGCAAGGCUAAAACUCAAAGGAAUUGACGGGGACCCGCACAAGCGGCGGAGCAUGCGGAUUAAUUCGAUGCAACGCGAAGAACCUUACCAAGGCUUGACAUAUAGAGGAA